Molecule: ribosomal RNA, 577 nt
Filed under: uncultured bacterium
Lineage: Bacteria
Description: bacterial SSU rRNA
Rfam family: Bacterial small subunit ribosomal RNA
Source: RNAcentral
UGGUAGUCCACACAGUAAACGAUGAAUACUCGCGGUUGGCGAUAUAUUGUCAGCCGCCACGCGAAAGCAUUAAGUAUUCCACCUGGGGAGUACGCCGGCAACGGUGAAACUCAAAGGAAUUGACGGGGGCCCGCACAAGCGGAGGAACAUGUGGUUUAAUUCGAUGAUACGCGAGGAACCUUACCCGGGCUUGAAUUGCAGCUGCAUUGACUAGAGAUAGUCAUUUCCUUCGGGACUGCUGUGAAGGUGCUGCAUGGUUGUCGUCAGCUCGUGCCGUGAGGUGUCGGCUUAAGUGCCAUAACGAGCGCAACCCUUUUCCAAGUUUACCAUCAGGUCAUGCUGGGGACUCCUUGGAUACUGCCAUCGCAAGAUGUGAGGAAGGUGGGGAUGACGUCAAAUCAGCACGGCCCUUACGUCCGGGGCUACACACGUGUUACAAUGGGCGGUACAGAAGGUUGCCACCUGGUGACAGGGCGCUAAUCCUUUAAAACCGUUCUCAGUUCGGAUUGGAGUCUGCAACCCGACUCCAUGAAGCUGGAUUCGCUAGUAAUCGCGCAUCAGCCAUGGCGCGGGAAUA